UUGUUUUGUACUUUUGUCAUAUAUUUUUAUAAAAUACUUUAGACAUAUUUUUUAUUCUAACUUACUGUGACGUGGAUGGAGCUUCCUUCUCCUUUUAAGUAAAUGGAAUGAGACUUGUUUUAAUAGAUCAAAAGAAGGAAACACUUAGCCAAGAAUCCGAAAGAAAUUAUAGCUUACGAUAAUUAACUCGGGAGUGACGUCUUUGGCUUUCGAUCGUGUCCCUAUAAAAGACUGUAAUUUAUGUGAUUUGUCACAUCAAGUGUAAGGUUUCCAACAUCCCAGGUGCAAAGUAAGCAAGAAAGGGGAAUUCACAACCUUUCAUCUCUGGUCUUCAUCUGAUAGAUUCCUGGAUUCAAAACAAAAAAGAUGGCUGUGGCACGGAUUAUAUUAAUCUUCCUGGUUAUAAUGGCAGUAACAAGUCCAGGUGCAACAACGACGACAACAGCUGCACCUACAACUGCAGCACCUACAACUGCUGCACCUACAACCGCAGCACCUACAACCGCUGCACCUACAACAGCUGCACCCACAACAGCUGCACCCACAACUGCUGCACCUACAACUGCUGCACCUACAACAGCUGCACCCACAACA
This is a non-coding RNA of Gasterosteus aculeatus aculeatus (three-spined stickleback), 594 nucleotides long. Lineage: Eukaryota; Metazoa; Chordata; Actinopteri; Perciformes; Gasterosteidae. The record is from RefSeq and is a predicted model, not a curated record.